CACACUGUCCGUCUUGCCUGCACUUUUUUCACUCCUCCCCUCACUGUAGCCGCAUACUCGCAUUUCAAACGAGCAUUCUCUACAGGCUAACCCUGGAACAUUAUCACAUAUCUCGAACGAAAACAUUGUCUCUCUUUGUAUUAAAAUGUUUGGCCUUUUAACCAAGUUUAGGUUCACUUUGGGACACUUCGAAAUAGAAUGACUGUAACACAAUCGUUUCCUCAGAAGUCACGUGACUUGAUCGGUUUGGUACCAGCCCUGAGUCAGUACCAGUACCAGCGAUCACUGCUGUCAUUCAGAAGCGAUAUAAGUAUGAGAAACCAUUCUUUCCUCGUGUUAUUUUUACUACUCGUGGUCGGUGUGUUUGGUGUUGAUACAGAUGGAGUAAAGUCAGUGUCAGUGAUGCAGGGAGAUUCUGUCACUCUACACACUGAUCUUACUGAAAUACCUACAGAUGGGGAUCUGCGGUGGAAGACUCAAGAUGACGCUAUCAUAGCACGGAUUGAUAGAGAAUCCAACAGAAUCUCAGUACCUGGGAAUACAAGUUUCGAAGGCAGAUUGAAGUUGGAUGAGACGACUGGAUCUCUGACCAUCACAAACAUCAAAACCACAGAUAAAAGAGUUUAUGAACUACUGAUCAGUGGCACAAAUUGGGAUAAACCAAACAAGGAAUUCAGUGUUUCUGUUGAUGAGCAGUCCGGCAUAUAGUAGCAACACUGGCUGAAGUGAGUUUGGGGGCGGGACUACAUCUUUGAGAAAACCAGGGGGAAGACAGUCAUUGUCAGACAAGAAGAAUUGUCUCCAAAACGUGUUUGAUUACAGUCAUUAUUUUUGUAAUUUUUUGCAUAUAAACUAUUCAAUACAUCUUCAGUUACAAUAGAAAUAUUAAAAUACCUAUAUGCAUAUUUAAAAUUUGACAAUGCUGAUUGUAGAAUACAAAUAAUCCAUAUAAUCAACGAAUCAUGUAUUCAUUGGCUGCAUUUUUCAUCCAUCAGACCAUUAUUAGCGUUACACAAUGACUGUGUGCACUGAAUAUUAUAGGUAGGGCACAUUUGGACAUCACAAGAGCUGGUGGCGCUGUUAGAAUGUUUUGAAUGUCUGACCAAUCAGCACUGGCAAGGGACACCGGAGGUGGGUUUAUUCUGUAGGUAAAAGAAUAGAGCAAAAAUGAUUAAAAUACCAUUGUGCUAAUGACACAACAUUGGAGUGCAUAAUUUACUGGAAAAUUGACAAGAAUUUAAAUUCUGUCUGAAGAUAUAUUAGGUAAACUGAGCAGAAUUAAUCAAUGUUCCUGUUAAAUAACCACUUUUUGGACUAAAAAGUCUUAACUGGUUUUAUUCUCUGUAUUAUUACAGUUAAAACUACACCAAUGUUUGUAUAAUAGCAUUUGUCUGUCAUCCAUACUGGACAAAAACUUUUCAGAACUCCCCUUUUUGAUGUUGCGAGUAUUGUUGUGAACUCUUGAUAAAAAUUAAAAUUACGUUAUUGCUGUGACAUUGUGGUUGUAAAUAGUGAAACUUCAGACUUCAAACUCUCUAAUGACAUUUUGCUUGUUAACAUUAAUUAUGAUUUUAUGGUAAAAUUAUGCAGUAAAUGUAAACAAACAAACUUCAGAACCACCAGUGGUCUCGAGCAAGUUAUAGGAUUAAACAGUGCUGAUUACAAAUGGACAAACAUCGAUCUGAACAAUCAGACUGGAGACCUCAACAUCAGAAACAUCCCAAAAAAUCAGGCUGGAGUUUAUGAAGUGGAGAUCAACACUGGCAGUGUGAUCUUACACAGAAAACUCUGUAUUACUCUUAGCGAUGUGUUUAGUGUUGAUGGAGUGAAGAAAAUGUCAGCGAGGAAGGGAGAACCUGUCACUCUACAUACUGAAAUUACUGAUAUACCAAAAGACGAUGUGAUAGAGUGGACGUUUCAAGACACUGCUUUAGCAAAAUCUGAUAGACAGGCAAAAAAAUCACUAACAUAUAACAAAGAAGAUUUGACAUUUAAAGACAGACUGCAACUGAACACAGAAUCUGGAGAUCUCAGAAUCAAUAACUUCAAGCCUGAGAUGUCAGGACUUUAUAAAGUAAAGAUCACCAAGAGUACAUAUACAUUACAGAAGACCUUCAGUGUUACUCUCGAUGAUUCACGUGAGUUUUCAGGUUCUACAGGUACAGGUGUGCCAGUGAUAUGUGGGGCCAGUGUUGUUCUGGCUUGUGCUGUAGCUGUUUUUUUUCUGCAAGAAGUAUAGACAAUCAAGACAAAUGUGUGCUAAUGCUGCAGGGAACUGAAAGCAUGCUUUGAAAAAAAUCAACUCCCAACAGCAGUAUCUUGUAGUCACCACAACAGGAUACAUAUUAACAGUGACAUGUGAAAGUAAUAAUAUCAUUUGAUUUGGCAUAAUUAGAGAAAUGUGCUUUCAUUUAUGAUGAAGUUGAUUUAACACAGCCAUCUACAAUGAUAUUGAUCAUAUUCCGUUCUUGUAUUAAGAGUCAAGACUGAUUUAAUGUCAUUUAGCAUGUGCGCUCUGUAUGAAGGCUUUUGUUAUUGUUUACAGUGUUCUCCCGGGGUAGAAAUCGCGUUCCGGGGGGAGAAAUGGGAACGCGGGGGCACCGUGAAUUUCAUGUCUUUUUUUUUUAUGUUUUGUUUGCCUAGAAGUGUUAGUUUUCCUUCAUCUUUAAACUUUUAGUUUUACAAAUCAUCACAUUAAAAUAGGAUAAUAUUUAGAGGUUUUAAGUGCUGGAAAAAGCGUGAAUCACUCUAAAAAGUCCUUGAAAAGUGCUUGAAUUUCACUCUCAAAAGUUUACAUGAACCCUGAAAUUAAUAAUGUAAAAGCAUUCAAGUAUUUCUGCCACAAUACCACAGCUUCAGUAAGCAGUACUACAUUAAAUCCAUGGAGAUUUGUGGACUGGAGAAUCUUAACUUGUUUAUGGCACGGUGUUUCUCCUGGUUUUCACGUCAGCACUAUUUUAUCUGUGGUUUAUAGCAGAGAAUUUUGCGCUGAAUUUGAAUGCUUCCCACUAGAUCUCGUAGCGAUGUUAUUAAUUUUGCAUCUAAUUCAAACGCUUCCUCACUGGAUUUCAAACAUUGGGGGCGUACAUAUUAAUGAUCCCAACUGUUGCGUCACAGUCAGUGUUAUGUUGAGAUUCACCUGUUUUUCAGUGGUCUUUUGCACGAAUGAGAUUUACAUAAGGAGGAAACAAUGGUGUUUGAGGCUCACUGUAUGUCAUUUCCAUGUACAGAACUCUUAUUAUUCAACUAUGCUAAGGUAAAUUCAAUUUUAAAUUCUAGGGCACCUUUAGAUACAAUCAUUGGAUUUCUGUGCUUAGAAACUGUGUUUACCCAAAAAAUGAAAAUUAUCCCAUAAUUUACUCACCCUCAAGCCAUCCUGUAUAUGACUUUCUUUGUUCAGACACAAUCAACGUUAUUAAAUAAUACUCUGGUCUUCUGAGCUUUGUAAUAACAUUACACGCUAAAAAACAAAACAAAAAAACAAUGGGUUAAAAAUAACCCAAUUUAGGUGUUUUCAGCCCAAGGCCUGGGUAAAUAUAGGACAGAACACAUGUUGGGUUAAUUUUACCCUGCAAAUUGGAUUGUUUAUUUAACCCAGCAUAAUGGGUUGAUUUUUUUUUUUUUUUGCAUGAUAAUUCCUUUAUUUUCAAUUAUAUUUUACAGUACAACAUAUUUUAUAUUGUUUUUAAUACAUAUUGCACCUUUAAGCUCAUUUAACAAAUAUUAUUUAGAAGUAAUUAAAGUGUAAUCAACCAGUCUCUGUUGUCCUGUUUCUUGUGCCACUAUAACUAUAACUUUUACAGUUUUUCUAUCUCUAAAUUACAUGCCAUUUAUUUUUUCUUUUCAAAUGGCUUCACACUGCGUACACUCAAAUUUAUUGAAUUUUUUGGAUAUAAAACAUUUAUAUCCAAAUCAAUAUAUGUCUAAUUUCUGCAAAACUUUGAAUUUCCUCAAAUAAUCAAUAUGUUGGUUAGUAUUCAAUUUAUCAAUUAAUAUUUACAGUUGAGUUAAUGUCAGUAGUGCCUGUUUAAUUUACAUGUAAAUUUAUGUCAACUGCAUCUGCCUGUUAACAUCAAACAUUUCCAAGGUCGUACAGUUUAAUUUUCACAUUAGGCCAAUUUACAUUGCACAUCACCUCAUUUCUCAAACGAAAAGUCUGAAAAGUUUCUCAAAGUCUGAAAACGGCUCUCUAAACCCUCCUUUCUGAGAGCUUCCUCUAAUCUGAUUGGUCAGGUGGUAUGAUGUGUAUGUUGUGAUGGUCGACUUCUUAGAGUGCAAAACAAAUUACCCUUCACUAUAUCUGAAUUUCAGGUCUGGAUCUUCCUCAGCACUUAAUACAGUGAUAUGAACAGUAAUGAUGGCAAUGAGUCAAUGACAUGUCGGCAACACAAACUAAACUCUUACAGUCUCAGCUACAACUAGUGUUUGAUGGUCAAAGUAGACGUUGUUUGUGGGCAGCCAAUGAAGCUUCCGCUUCCGCUUUUCCGGUCAUGAGUAUGAGGUAACGCAGCUCUGUUUAUCAUAUUAGAUACAUUUGAGAGUGUUGAAAAUGAUGUUAUAACGUUACUCUGUGCGUUCGCUUGGUGGCUGCUGUGAGACACUUGUUGCACACUGCAGUAAGCUAGAUCGAUAUUAGAAUAUCAUAUUAAUAAAUGCUGGAUGGCUUGUGUUGAUAAAUGACAUGCAAUUAAUUUUAAAACGUAUUGUAUGAUGGAGAAAAUUCUGUAUUACUGUUACUUAAAAUAAAGCUGCAUCUGAUUAUGCUAUGUUAGCUACUUGACAAAAUAGUGGUUUUCUCUGAGGCAUGGUAAAGCAUGGUACUCGCAAAAAAAUCAAGAAAAUUAUUUAAACAAUAACACUAAACGUGUUGAGAUAUAUACAAACCCGAUUCCAAAAAAGUUGGGACACUGUACAAAUUGUGAAUAAAAAAGGAAUGCAAUGAUGUGGAAGUUUCAAAUUUCAAUAUUUUAUUCAGAAAACAACAUAGAUGACAUAUCAAAUGUUUAAACUGAGAAAAUGUAUCAUUUUAAGGGAAAAAUAAGUUGAUUUUAAAUUUCAUGGCAUCAACACAUCUCAAAAAAGUUGGGACAAGGCCAUGUUUACCACUGUGUGGCAUCCCCUCUUCUUUUUAUGACAGUCUGCAAACGUCUGGGGACUGAGGAGACAAGUUGCUCAAGUUUAGGAAUAGGAAUGUUGUCCCAUUCUUGUCUAAUACAGGCUUCUAGUUGCUCAACUGUCUUAGGUCUUCUUUGUCGCAUCUUCCUCUUUAUGAUGCGCCAAAUGUUUUCUAUAGGUGAAAGAUCUGGACUGCAGGCUGGCCAUUUCAGUACCCGGAUCCUUCUUCUACGCAGCCAUGAUGUUGUAAUUGAUGCAGUAUGUGGUCUGGCAUUGUCAUGUUGGAAAAUGCAAGGUCUUCCCUGAAAGAGACGACGUCUGGAUGGGAGCAUAUGUUGUUCUAGAACUUGGAUAUACCUUUCAGCAUUGAUGGUGCCUUUCCAGAUGUGUAAGCUGCCCAUGCCACACGCACUCAUGCAACCCCAUACCCUCAGAGAUGCAGGCUUCUGAACUGAGCGCUGAUAACAACUUGGGUUGUCCUUGUCCUCUUUAGUCCGGAUGACAUGGCGUCCCAGUUUUCCAAAAAGAACUUCAAAUUUUGAUUCGUCUGACCACAGAACAGUUUUCCACUUUGCCACAGUCCAUUUUAAAUGAGCCUUGGCCCAGAGAAAACGCCUGCGCUUCUGGAUCAUGUUUAGAUAUGGCUUCUUUUUUGACCUAUAGAGUUUUAACCGGCAACGGCGAAUGGCACGGUGGAUUGUGUUCACCGAGAAUGUUUUCUGGAAGUAUUCCUGAGCCCAUGUUGUGAUUUCCAUUACAGUAGCAUUCCUGUAUGUGAUGCAGUGCCGUCUAAGGGCCCGAAGAUCACGGGCAUCCAUUAUGGUUUUCCGGCCUUGACCCUUACGCACAGAGAUUGUUCCAGAUUCUCUGAAACUUUGGAUGAUAUUAUGCACUGUAGAUGAUGAUAACUUCAAAUUCCUUUCUGAUAUUGCUCCACUAGUUUUCGCCGCAGCAUUGGGGGAAUUGGUGAUCCUCUGCCCAUCUUGACUUCUGAGAGACACUGCCACUCUGAGAGGCUCUUUUUAUACCCAAUCAUGUUGCCAAUUGACCUAAUAAGUUGCAAAUUGGUCCUCCAGCUGUUCCUUAUAUGUACAUUUAACUUUUCCGGCCUCUUAUUGCUACCUGUCCCAACUUUUUUGGAAUGUGUAGCUCUCAUGAAAUCCAAAAUGAGCCAAUAUUUGGCAUGACAUUUCAAAAUGUCUCACUUUCAACAUUUGAUAUGUUAUCUAUAUUCUAUUGUGAAUAAAAUAUAAGUUUAUGAGAUUUGUAAAUUAUUGCAUUCCUUUUUUAUUCACAAUUUGUACAGUGUCCCAUCUUUUUUGGAAUCGGGUUUGUAAAACAAUUAGUUUUCUGUCUAUAAACAUAACCAAACAGUUGUUCCCUUGUCUAUUAAAACAUGUAAUAUAUUAAAGUGUCUUUGGUGUUUCCAUGGUUUCUACAAAAUAAAACUGGAAACCGAGGGUAAUGUGGGUAUGACACAAUUGACAGGCGACUCCUCACACAUUAAAACUGCAAUUUUCUCAUGAUUUACAAAUAGUUGGAAACAUUUGGGAUAUUGUAAGUACUCAAGUGAACAAAAUAUAUAACACUGGCCUAGUGGUUUCUGGAUAUUUUACUGCAAAAAUCUUACAUAUUGCACCUUUAACAAACAACUGUAUUACACACUGUAUGACAGAUAAUAUCUGAAAAAGCAUAAAAAUAUAAAAAUAUGUAUUUUUAUAAAAUAGUAUUUUAUUGAUAUAAAAAAGUCGGAAAAACAGGAUUUUAAAACUGUUUAUUUAAUUCAAUUUUGAAAUGUAUCCAAAUAAAACAAUAAUAGAGUAAACUGAUAAAUAAUUUUAAAUUGCCUUUUAAAAAAGCAUUUGCCACUUGCUUUACUUUGUCCUUUUGUCACACAGGAAGCAGCGUUUUGAAAUUGCCCAACAAUACUUUAUGUACUCAAGUCUGACUCAAGUGUGAGUCCAAGGCUAUUUUCAGGAGCACUUGGACUUGGCCUGAUCUGGUCUUGACUAUAGUCAUAAAAAAUAUGGUCUUGGACUCUGGCUUAAGUCCGAGUUCAGUCCUGAGUACUACAGCACUACUUUAUACCUUGAAUGUUGCGAACUACAUAACAUGGCAGGCAAAAACAACUUAUGUAAAGAGGGAUUGUAGAUAGAUGCUGGGUGUUGGUGUUGGAGGGGUGUUGGUCAUUCAACAACUGAACCCCUUUAGCAGGAAGUAGCGGCGGAUCUGAAGACUAACUCUCCUCAUGCAUAGUUUUUAGAUAGCAAGCUAUAAAAUUACAAUUGACAUGAAAAUUUACUUAUUUAUGGUUUUUAGUUUUAUGUUAAUUUUUGUCACUGUAGAUCAAUAAGAUAAAUUUUAAUUUUAGAAUUUUGAAAGCAAAUGUUGAAAUGCUUUUCCUACUUUCAAAUUUGCAGAACUAUCUUUGGCUUUUAGUAUUACAGGAAACAGAAGUGUUUACACACUUGACACAUGUUUUUACAGUUAUUUUUGAGUGAAGAGUCAAGAUCUUAUCUGCUCUAUCUCUUUCUCUCUGGUUAUUGUGGACAUGUUAUGACAAGUCAAGCUCAUUUUUUUCAGCACUUUUAUUUCUUUUGUAGGUCAGAGCAUGUGCAAAAGCCAAAUAAUCGAUUGAUAAUGUGCAGUCAAAAUUAUCCAACCCUGUCUGCAAAUCAAGUUUAUUGGCAAAAUUUACAGACUUUCAGCUGUUUGGAAUGAACAAAUCAAACAAAAGUAAUUGAAAUAGCUCAACACAAGGAAUGUUUUAAGUGGUUUCCUCAAAUUCAACUGAAAAUACAACAUUUCAUGACUUCUGCAGUCUCAAAAUCACCAGCUUAAACCAGCUACUUCCAUCCUAAACCAGCUAAGACUAGCCAUGAGCCUAGGCUGGUUUAGCUGUUAUUUCCAGCAGGGAGGUAAAUGCCGUCAUCACUGUUAAACAGCAAUAUUGGCUUUUGCUCGAGCCCCUGCCCUUUUUCAAAAUGAAUCAAAAGUGUCCCUCUCAGACAAAUAGCGAUGAUAAUAUUGUGGUUAAUAAAACAAAAUGCAUUUGAAUUAUAAUUAACAUGACAAUGUGUACAAUAGUAACGAAUCGCUCAAAAGUCUGAAAAUUCCUGUUUAUUUUUACAUAUUCGUCAGUCUGAGGCAUUGCUAUGGGUUGUGUGCGUUUUGGUUGACUGACUGAUUCCACAGUCUGAAGUGAACUACACCACAGUCGCACAAUUUCCAUGUCACCACCACUUCUGACAACUCUUUCAGCCUUUCUCUGAAAACAUUUUCCCUGAAGUUUGAAUUACAAUAGUUUUAAAGAGCUCAAUAAUAACCAUACCUAGGCUGUAAAGGCUGACUGAUCUUACCUGUUCAGUGUGAUGACGUUUAAUGUCACCGACAGCCUCUGUUGUCCCAUUUAGACACUUGUUAGCAACCAUCAUUUUCAAGACACGUAACGGCUUAAAAAAAAUCACGGGCAGGUUAAUACUGAUGAUUUAAUGUCAUAGAAUAAAAGCUAUUUAACCAAAAAUCCAUUCAAAAACCCAUUGACUUGAGACAAUGGAACUGGAAGGGCAAAAUUUUGAGCUUUGUUUUUCUGCAGUAGUAGUCAAGUUUGAUUCAUGCCAAGAAAGCCUAUACCAGCCUGACCAGCUAAAAAAGGUCAAAACUCAUUAGGUUGGUUCUAGUGGACAUGAGUCAAAAAUAUUUCACUUUAUAUAGUUAUAGUAUGUCUGUUGUGUAUGCAGUGGUGAUGUAGGAAUGUGCGGCCAUGCAGAAUGAAGUUCCAAAGACACUUUCAAAUUUAAUAUUUUUAUUACCAUUAUUGCCAUUUUUACAGUGAAUGAAAUGAACUGGCCUCAUAGGAUUAUAACUACAAGUUAAACACCUAUUGUCUGUGUUGGAUUUGUUAAUUCCUUUUAAUCUGUUGGCCAGUAGCACAAGCUUGCCCCAGCUUUUGGCACUGACAUUACUCUGACCUGCAGAGACACACACUUGUUAGCUGUGCUCUAUAUAGUAAAACAACACUCUGAGUAACCUAAAUUUCUGCUUUGGUGUUUCCUGAUCUCCUCCCCAUUGCUUCCUGUCUCUCAUCUGUCCUGUCAAAUAAAGGCAAAAAAUUACCCUCCCCCUCUUGCCAUCAAAAAAACUCUCCGCCUUCAGUUAUCUCUAGUAAAGCUACAACUGUAAGAUUGUAAGAGAUCUGUAACUGCGCUACAUAUUUCCUUUGUGACUAAAUUAGAACUGUGGAGUGUUAAUAUUUCAAAGUAUUCGGUGAGCUUUUCAGCUGGAAAUGGUCGACACAUUAUUUGUGCUCAGUUUGUGGCAUAUGAUUGGUGUGUUUACGUUUGCUGUUGAGACACAUGUUUCAGUGAUGACGGGAGAUUCUGUAGUUCUACACAGUGAUGUUAAUGAAACACAGAUAUAUGAAAAUAUAGAGUGGAGGUUUGAAAAGAGCCGUAUAGCUAGAAUAAAAAGAGUGAUCGGGAACGAUCCUCUGUAUGAGGAUGAGAGAUUCAGAGACAGACUGAAUCUAGAUCAACAGACUGGAUCUCUGACCAUCAAAAACACCAGAACCACAGACUCUGGACUUUAUCAACUGAAGUCUCAAGACUGUGGAUAAAGAGUCAUUCAAGAAAUUCAAUGUUACUGUUGAAGUGGCACCAACAACCACCUCACAAGCCCCAGUCCCAAAAACAUCUUCACAGCCUCCAGACUCAGUCUCUGUAUCUCCAAUAGUGUUGAUCUCUGUUGUUGCUGCUGCUGGAUCUCUGCUGACUGUAGCUGCAGUUGGGAUCUUCUGCAUCUGCAGGAGACAAAGAAAAACAGAACAACAGGGCAAG
Molecule: RNA transcript, 9950 nt
Organism: Ctenopharyngodon idella (grass carp)
Lineage: Eukaryota; Metazoa; Chordata; Actinopteri; Cypriniformes; Xenocyprididae
Exons: 8
Source: RefSeq, a predicted model, not a curated record